AUUUUCAUGUAUUUUACAUUGGUAUAUUUCUAUUCAUUUACAGGGUGCUCAGGAGGUGGACGUGGUAAUGUGGAGGGAGGCAGCCAUCCUACCAUUGAAGCUCAAUGUGAAAGUCACAUUAACCCAUCUCAAAGGUUCGACGGGAACCUAUGGCUUCAGGCUUCAUACAAGUAACCAUACUAGUAUGAAGGGAGAAGAAGUGUCCAAGUCGGAGGUGAUUGUCAAUUUUAACGCUCAAGGAUGAAACUGAAAUCACAAUCCCUGAAAAAAUGUGGAAUCCGUUUGAUGAUCUUCUGGACCGGAGCCCAGUAACAGUCGUUAUUGUCACAAAGGAAGGGGAAAUCAUCGACGCUACUGUUAUGGAUGAAGAUCAGGAGGAAUAAAACCACACACACACACA
RNAcentral lists this long non-coding RNA (400 nucleotides) under Gouania willdenowi (blunt-snouted clingfish). RNAcentral describes it as "lncRNA (ENSGWIG00000020790.1)". The record is from RNAcentral. Lineage: Eukaryota; Metazoa; Chordata; Actinopteri; Blenniiformes; Gobiesocidae.